GAAACCCCAAAGCCCUCCCCCUCAGUGACACACUUCCUCCAAUAAGACACAUCUACUCCAACAAGGCCACACCUCCUAAUCCCUUUUGUCUGUACAUGAACACACAUUUUUGUGUGCACAAAAACAGGCUGUGGGCUAACCCAGCGGGCACACUUUCAAUCACUGACCAGCCCGUUAGCUAAUAUUCUGGAGAGCCACUGACUUUUGUUUCUCUUCACCAGCUGUAUGCAAAGGUUUGACUGCGAGUCCUGUCACAGCCCACCUCCCUCCGGAGGCUCACAUGUUCAAAGCCUGGUCCCCAUCUGGAGGCGCUGUUGGGAGGUGACUGGACCAUGAGGACACUAAUCUUAACCAGCUCCUGAUGUUCUGCCCCAGGACAGAAAUCCGUGAACCUUUCAGAUGAAGCAAACCUUCCCUCCCUACAGGUGAAGAAGUCGAAGCCUGGAAGAUUGAAACCCUUACCCGGGGUCAUCUAGACGGAGCAGGGCAGCAUAGCACCAGGGCUUGGAGGCUUUCUGCUAUGGCGGUGGCUGACUGCUCUGUGGUGCCAUUUCCUGAGCCAGGAAUGGAGUCACGUGACCACGUCGGUAAACACCAUGGCCGACACCCGUUCUAGAGGAUCUUGGUCAGCAGCAGGAGCAUCACAUCCUCCACAGCACAGAAGAUGACUGCCAUCAUGUCCUGAGGCUCAGAAGCGGCACGUAGAUGCUGAGUGAGACAUCUUUGUGUCUGUAUGGGAGAGUGGCUGGACCGCUGUGAGUCACGUGAUGUCAAGGACCAUCUUCUCCAUCUGUGAGUCACGUGAUGUCAAGGAACCGUCUUUUCCAUCUUCUCUCUCUCAGUACCCGGUAAGUGACUGCAAAGAAAUGGCUGCUGCUCGGGGUAGGUUAUUUAUUUACCAAUAGAUAAAGGGGAGUGAGGGUCAGUGAUGCUUAGAGCCUCCUCCUUCAGUUCUAACCGGAAGUCUAGGAAAAUGGUCAAAGUAAACUACUCUCACGGUAACCAUGAAAGUUGGCAAAACCAAGGGAAAAACAAGCAAAAGAGGGUGGUAAGUGUACCCACACAACACUCAGAAACACUAAGGAAUGGAACUUCCUUAUUUAUCUUAAAGCAGAUUGGUCUUAGCAGGUCCCACCUACUAGACGAAAUGGGGAAAUGUGUUUCAGCCUGUUUCAGUAACUUGUCCAAGACAGGAAGACAACCAAUCCCUGUGUGCCUCCAUUUAGUGAACUGACUCUCCUAGCUUCUCCCUUGCUGCCCAGCCUAUCUGUAAACCGGACAAUCUAGGGAGAGACCACGUGCCCUCAGGAUAUUGUUGGGCUGCUUGACUACCUUGUCCUUGCCCUGGAUCAGCGAUAUGUAUGGGCUGGUGAUGGUUGACACACUGGCUCUGGCCCUGGUGUUCUGGUGUCCACAGCUGACCUUAGCAGUCACGUUAACCUGUAGCCUAGUUUUGUUUCUCUUGGUCAGAGCCUGAGGGCUGCUCUCCAGCUGGCUCCACCUCAGUUUGGCAUUGACUGACCCACUGCGCUCCACGGACACAUUGUCUACCAGGCAAGGAGGUCACUUUGUCCCCACCCAGCAGGUCUAUGGAAGUCUAGUUGUUCUUAAUUGCAAUCUUAGGAGCUAAGGGAGGCUCAGGAGUGGAUAGCAUGACCCCCUGACCACGGAACUUCCUCCAAAUGGCCUUGAUGAGGAGGCUGGACGUCCACUCUUUCAUUCCGAGGGAGGACAAAUCCGUCUUGAAAAAGGCAGAGGAGGAUCGCUCACACUCACGAGGCAGAGGCAGGCGGAUCUCUGAGUUCCAGUGAAACCUGGGAGAGGCUGGGGUUGGCCGAAGAAAGGGCAAGUUUCAGCUCUUCUCUCCUUGACCUUUGCCCUCCCUGGAACUUGAAUUGGGGUCGAAGGCUUGAGUGCAGCCUUAAGUGUAGAGGGUGGAAUUUCACACGCUUACCGGUUUCCAUGGCACACGUGAGUAUUUCUGCCUCUGGCGCCGUGGCUUUAGCGUCUAUUAAUACCUCAGCGCUCAUCCCUUCAAAGAGCGGGUAGUCCAGCAGCAGCUACCAUUCCGUACACUCCCCGAAACCCACAUUCCAAGGGCCUAAUCACCGCCUCUCACGCUUUCCAGAUCUCGUCUCUUCUUUGGCAUUAGAUCAUUUUCCAAAAUAGAUCUUUUCCUCCUCCUUCCCCCCGGCUGCCUUUUCUAGGGUUUUCCUAAAUGCCUUCCUGCCAGCAGAUCCUUUUCUUCGGCGUGCUCCCAUUCGUUCUAAUUAUAAACUAGCACGCAUGGUGGCAUGUGUUACCUUCCCUCGGCUGGGUUCCAGAGAGCACCGACAAGCAGAGAAAGAAAGGCUCUGUAAGAAAUUUAGCUUAGGACACGGCAAAUUGCCGUUGCUGCUGCAGUAUUUAAAGGAAUACAGAACACGGGAGUUUGACGUCGAGCUGAGCAGGCCUCCCUGGGUUUCCACCUCUCGAUAAACAGGAAGCUUCGUUGGACAAGUAAUGCUCUGGUGGUGUUUGUAAUCUCACCUCUAGUCCUUGCAGUGGGGGCGGGAGCGGAUUAAAUGACAUCUCUUCCAAUUCUAGGUAAUACCCGACAGCGCUUCAGGGGCUCAAGGAACUAAAUCAACGUCAGCUUCUGAUGGUCCUGCCUGGGGUCCGUCCUGGAGCUUUCCCAGGAGCUUGCUCGUUCAAGACUUCAAUGUAGUCUCUGCUCG
Molecule: long non-coding RNA, 2717 nt
Organism: Alexandromys fortis (reed vole)
Lineage: Eukaryota; Metazoa; Chordata; Mammalia; Rodentia; Cricetidae
Exons: 4
Source: RefSeq, a predicted model, not a curated record